This 400-nucleotide ribosomal RNA is filed under the name uncultured Methanosarcinales archaeon. RNAcentral's name for it is "bacterial SSU rRNA". It matches the Rfam family "Archaeal small subunit ribosomal RNA", at positions 1 to 393 of the family's 1478-position model. The record is from RNAcentral. Lineage: Archaea; Methanobacteriati; Methanobacteriota; Methanomicrobia; Methanosarcinales.
UCCGGUUGAUCCCGGCGGAGGUCACUGCUAUCGGUGUUCGACUAAGCCAUGCGAAGUUCAAAUGUUCUUCGUGAACAUGGGCGUACUGGCUCAGUAACACGUGGAUUACCUACCCUUAAGGGUUCUGGCAUUAACCCCGGGAAACUGGGGAUUAUUCCGGAUAAGAUCAUAGAUGCCUGGAAUGCCCUGUGAAUCCAAAGCCUUUGUGCCUAAGGAUGGGUCUGCGGUCUAUCAGGUUGUAGUGGGUGUUAUGUACCUACUAGCCUACGACGGAUACGGGUUGUGGGAGCAAGAGCCCGGAGAUGGAUUCUGAGACAUGAAUCCAGGCCCUACGGGGCGCAGCAGGCGCGAAAACUUACAAUGCGGGAAACCGCGAUAAGGGGGACACCGAGUGCCCCAG